This 447-nucleotide ribosomal RNA is filed under the name uncultured bacterium. RNAcentral describes it as "partial 16S ribosomal RNA". It matches the Rfam family "Bacterial small subunit ribosomal RNA", at positions 328 to 792 of the family's 1533-position model. The record is from RNAcentral.
GAGCCAGACUCCUACGGGAGGCAGCAGUGGGGGAUAUUGCACAAUGGGGGAAACCCUGAUGCAGCGACGCCGCGUGAAGGAUGAAGUAUUUCGGUAUGUAAACUUCUAUCAGCAGGGAAGAAAAUGACGGUACCUGAAGAAGAAGCCCCGGCUAACUACGUGCCAGCAGCCGCGGUAAUACGUAGGGGGCAAGCGUUAUCCGGAUUUACUGGGUGUAAAGGGGGCGCAGACGGCGAUGCAAGCCAGGAGUGAAAGCCCGGGGCCCAACCCCGGGACUGCUCUUGGAACUGCGUGGCUAGAGUGCAGGAGGGGCAGGCGGAAUUCCUGGUGUAGCGGUGAAAUGCGUAGAUAUCAGGAGGAACACCGGUGGCGAAGGCGGCCUGCUGGACUGCAACUGACGUUGAGGCCCGAAAGCGUGGGGAGCAAACAGGAUUAGAUACCCUAGUA